Molecule: ribosomal RNA, 403 nt
Filed under: uncultured bacterium
Lineage: Bacteria
Description: bacterial SSU rRNA
Rfam family: Bacterial small subunit ribosomal RNA
Source: RNAcentral
GACGAACGCUGGCGGCGUGCUUAACACAUGCAAGUCGAACGGGGUGUUUAUUUCGGUAAACACCAAGUGGCGAACGGGUGAGUAACGCGUAAGCAAUCUACCUUCAAGAUGGGGACAACACUUCGAAAGGGGUGCUAAUACCGAAUGAAUGUAAGAGUAUCGCAUGAGACACUUACUAAAGGAGGCCUCUGAAAAUGCUUCCGCUUGAAGAUGAGCUUGCGUCUGAUUAGCUAGUUGGUGAGGGUAAAGGCCCACCAAGGCGACGAUCAGUAGCCGGUCUGAGAGGAUGAACGGCCACAUUGGGACUGAGACACGGCCCAGACUCCUACGGGAGGCAGCAGUGGGGAAUCUUCCGCAAUGGGCAAAGCCUGACGGAGCAACGCCGCGUGAGUGAUGACGGCCU